This 361-nucleotide ribosomal RNA is filed under the name Candidatus Regiella insecticola. Its description in RNAcentral is "bacterial SSU rRNA". It matches the Rfam family "Bacterial small subunit ribosomal RNA", at positions 1 to 357 of the family's 1533-position model. The record is from RNAcentral. Lineage: Bacteria; Pseudomonadati; Pseudomonadota; Gammaproteobacteria; Enterobacterales; Enterobacteriaceae. RNAcentral also lists the same sequence under 1 other name.
AAAUUGAAGAGUUUGAUCAUGGCUCAGAUUGAACGCUGGCGGCAAGCCUAACACAUGCAAGUCGAGCGGCAGCGAAAAGAAAGUUUUCUUUCUUGUCGGCGAGCGGCAAACGGGUGAGUAAUAUCUGGGGAUCUACCCGAAAAAGGGGGAUAACUACUAGAAAUGGUAGCUAAUACCGCAUAAUGUUGAAAAACCAAAGUGGGGGACCUUAUGGCCUCACGUUUUCGGAUGAACCCAGACGAGAUUAGCUUGUUGGUAGAGUAAUAGCCUACCAAGGCAACGAUCUCUAGCUGGUCUGAGAGGAUAACCAGCCACACUGGAACUGAGACACGGUCCAGACUCCUACGGGAGGCAGCAGUGG